GGUCAUGAGUAACAGCGACUACGGCCCCGGCCCGCUGUUCGGCAACCCUCCGUCCGUGGCGGGGUGCCCCGGGUGAAGACCAGGCGGUGAACAGCAAGGUUCAUCGCAAGCGCGGACC
RNAcentral lists this non-coding RNA (118 nucleotides) under Streptomyces silvensis. RNAcentral describes it as "SAM-IV sequence". It matches the Rfam family "SAM (S-adenosyl methionine) riboswitch aptamer". From Rfam's summary of the family: SAM-IV is a mRNA element that regulates gene expression via direct sensing of S-adenosylmethionine (SAM or AdoMet). SAM-IV riboswitches share conserved nucleotide positions with the previously described SAM-I riboswitches sequence analysis and molecular recognition experiments suggest that SAM-I and SAM-IV riboswitches share similar ligand binding sites, but have different scaffolds. The record is from Rfam by way of RNAcentral. Lineage: Bacteria; Bacillati; Actinomycetota; Actinomycetes; Kitasatosporales; Streptomycetaceae.